Molecule: long non-coding RNA, 131 nt
Organism: Elgaria multicarinata webbii
Lineage: Eukaryota; Metazoa; Chordata; Lepidosauria; Squamata; Anguidae
Exons: 2
Source: RefSeq, a predicted model, not a curated record
CAGGAAAAUCUUCUCAAAAGUCGAGGGUCGUCUUAUACGCCGGGGGUAGUCUUAUACGGCGAAUAUAUCCCAAACUCUAUAUUUUAACUGGAAAAGUUGGGGGUCGUCUUAUACGCCGGAAAAUACGGUAA